RNAcentral lists this ribosomal RNA (426 nucleotides) under uncultured Actinomycetes bacterium. RNAcentral describes it as "bacterial SSU rRNA". It matches the Rfam family "Bacterial small subunit ribosomal RNA", at positions 233 to 671 of the family's 1533-position model. Lineage: Bacteria; Bacillati; Actinomycetota; Actinomycetes. The record is from RNAcentral.
GCGGCCUAUCAGCUUGUUGGCGAGGUAAUGGCUCACCAAGGCGACGACGGGUAGCCGGCCCGAGAGGGCGACCGGCCACACUGGGACUGAGACACGGCCCAGACUCCUACGGGAGGCAGCAGUGGGGAAUAUUGGGUAAUGGAGGGAACUCUGACCCAGCGACGCCGCGUGCGGGAUGAAGGCCUUCGGGUUGUAAACCGCUUUCAGCAGGGAAGAAGCGAAAGUGACGGUACCUGCAGAAGAAGCACCGGCUAACUAUGUGCCGGCAGCCGCGGUAAUACAUAGGGUGCAAGCGUUGUCCGGAAUUAUUGGGCGUAAAGAGCUCGUAGGUGGUUCGUUACGUCGGAUGUGAAACUCUGGGGCUCAACCCCAGACCUGCAUUCGAUACGGGCGAACUAGAGUGUGGUAGGGGAGACUGGAAUUCCU